CGCAUCUGUGCAUGCAGCAUAUCAAUAAGCGGAGGAAAAGAAACUAACAAGGAUUCCCCUAGUAACGGCGAGUGAAGCGGGAAGAGCUCAAAUUUGAAAUCUUAAAGGGUUUCCCUUUACGAAUUGUAGUUUAAAGAAGUGUUUUCUGUUGAGGUUUAGGUAAAAGUUCUUUGGAAUAGGACAUCAUAGAGGGUGAGAAUCCCGUAUUUGACCUUUACUUUCAACUUUGUGAUACACUUUCAAAGAGUCGGAUUGUUUGGGAAUGCAGUCCAAAAUGGGUGGUAAAUUUCAUCUAAAGCUAAAUAUUGGCGAGAGACCGAUAGCGAACAAGUACCGUGAGGGAAAGAUGAAAAGAACUUUGAAAAGAGAGAUAAACAGUACGUGAAAUUGUCAAAAGGGAAGCGUUUGACACCAGUGUUGUUUUUCUGAAAAUCAAUUAAAGAACUGUUUAUGCUAAGCUGUUUAGACUUUAUCAGCUAACUGUUUAGUUUUGAGCUUUUCUUUAAUGCACUUUUCAGUUAACAAGUCAACAUCAAUUUCUUUUGCUGUAAAAAAGCUUGAGGAAGGUAGCUUGAGAUUCGUCUUAAGUGUUUAUAGCCUCUUGCCUAUGCAGUCGGAGAGAUUGAGGUCUGCAGCGUAGAUCCUUCGGGGCUAAAUGCAUUUGUGCUAAGUUAUAGCAUUUUAUAGACAACUUGUUGACUAUGAUUUGUCUUGUAGCUUACUCGCUUAUGUUAUUUUACCUACGCUUAGGAUGUUGAGCGCAUGUCUCUCUCU
RNAcentral lists this ribosomal RNA (774 nucleotides) under uncultured Neocallimastigales. RNAcentral describes it as "partial large subunit ribosomal RNA". It matches the Rfam family "Eukaryotic large subunit ribosomal RNA", at positions 26 to 616 of the family's 3401-position model. Lineage: Eukaryota; Fungi; Neocallimastigomycota; Neocallimastigomycetes; Neocallimastigales. The record is from RNAcentral.